CAGUCGCCGCGGGAAUACGAAGGGUGCAAGCGUUACUCGGAAUUACUGGGCGUAAAGCGUGCGUAGGUGGUGGUUUAAGUCCGUUGUGAAAGCCCUGGGCUCAACCUGGGAAUUGCAGUGGAUACUGGAUCACUAGAGUGUGGUAGAGGAUAGUGGAAUUUCCGGUGUAGCAGUGAAAUGCGUAGAGAUCGGAAGGAACAUCUGUGGCGAAGGCGACUAUCUGGGCCAACACUGACACUGAGAGACGAAAGCUAGGGGAGCAAAUGGGAUUAGAUACCCCCGUAGUCCCUGUCUCUUAUAC
RNAcentral lists this ribosomal RNA (301 nucleotides) under uncultured bacterium. RNAcentral describes it as "partial 16S ribosomal RNA". It matches the Rfam family "Bacterial small subunit ribosomal RNA", at positions 509 to 807 of the family's 1533-position model. The record is from RNAcentral.